This is a long non-coding RNA of Pygocentrus nattereri (red-bellied piranha), 263 nucleotides long. RefSeq lists it as uncharacterized. NCBI's taxonomy places the organism in Eukaryota, Metazoa, Chordata, Actinopteri, Characiformes, Serrasalmidae. The record is from RefSeq and is a predicted model, not a curated record. The transcript is spliced from 3 exons.
GAAGAAUCGACUCUUUUGCCGACUCCCCAUCAGCAGCGCAAGCCGGGGAGACGCUGUAGGUCAAUGAGGAAUGUGUCCCAACACACAGUGCACUGCUGUCUACACUUGGAAAUACCUACAAUGAGCAUGUGAAACCCUCAACUGAAACUGCACCUUGGAGCAAUGGAAGAAGGGAAGUGAUGGCACCAGGAUGCACUGAGGGAAGAUGACAAACUGGUGGAGGGAGUGUGUUGUUCUUGGCAGUGUUCUAAUGGGAAAACCCU